This 372-nucleotide ribosomal RNA is filed under the name uncultured organism. RNAcentral's name for it is "partial 16S ribosomal RNA". It matches the Rfam family "Bacterial small subunit ribosomal RNA", at positions 527 to 896 of the family's 1533-position model. The record is from RNAcentral.
GAACCGUCCAAACGUUAUUCGGAAUCACUGGGCUUAAAGGGUGCGUAGGCGGUCCGGAAAGUUGGGUGUGAAAUCCCUCGGCUCAACCGAGGAAUUGCGCUCAAAACUGCCGGACUUGAGGGAGACAGAGGUGAGCGGAACUCAGGGUGGAGCGGUGAAAUGCGUUGAUAUCCUGAGGAACACCAGUGGCGAAAGCGGCUCACUGGGUCUCUUCUGACGCUCAUGCACGAAAGCCAGGGGAGCGAACGGGGGAUUAGAUACCCCGGUAGUCCUGGCUGUAAACGAUGAGCACUUGGUCGGAGGCUCCUCCAUAGGCUUCCGGCCGUAGCGAAAGUGUUAAGUGCUCCGCCUGGGGAUAUGGUCGCAAGGCUG